CAGAAUAUAGUUUAUAAAAAAAUAAUAAUUUUGGAAAUUAUUGAAAAGUAGUUUAACUUUUUUCUGA
This 67-nucleotide transfer RNA is filed under the name Pseudoclavellaria amerinae. Its description in RNAcentral is "tRNA-Pro". The record is from RNAcentral. Lineage: Eukaryota; Metazoa; Arthropoda; Insecta; Hymenoptera; Cimbicidae.